UAGGGAAUCUUCGGCAAUGGACGGAAGUCUGACCGAGCAACGCCGCGUGAGUGAAGAAGGUUUUCGGAUCGUAAAGCUCUGUUGUAAGAGAAGAACGGGUGUGAGAGUGGAAAGUUCACACUGUGACGGUAUCUUACCAGAAAGGGACGGCUAACUACGUGCCAGCAGCCGCGGUAAUACGUAGGUCCCGAGCGUUGUCCGGAUUUAUUGGGCGUAAAGCGAGCGCAGGCGGUUAGAUAAGUCUGAAGUUAAAGGCUGUGGCUUAACCAUAGUAGGCUUUGGAAACUGUUUAACUUGAGUGCAAGAGGGGAGAGUGGAAUUCCAUGUGUAGCGGUGAAAUGCGUAGAUAUAUGGAGGAACACCGGUGGCGAAAGCGGCUCUCUGGCUUGUAACUGACGCUGAGGCUCGAAAGCGUGGGGAGCAAACAGGAUUAGAUACCCUGGUAGUCCACGCUGUAAACGAUGAGUGCUAGGUGUUAGACCCUUUCCGGGGUUUAGUGCCGUAGCUAACGCAUUAAGCACUCCGCCUGGGGGAGUACGACCGCAAGGUUG
RNAcentral lists this ribosomal RNA (551 nucleotides) under uncultured bacterium. RNAcentral's name for it is "bacterial SSU rRNA". It matches the Rfam family "Bacterial small subunit ribosomal RNA", at positions 355 to 896 of the family's 1533-position model. The record is from RNAcentral.